Non-coding RNA from Osmia lignaria (orchard mason bee), 1603 nucleotides. The record is from RefSeq and is a predicted model, not a curated record. Lineage: Eukaryota; Metazoa; Arthropoda; Insecta; Hymenoptera; Megachilidae.
CCGUAUGUUUUCUUUUCACGAACGACAAGUCAAAACUGAUUCCACCGCUCCCACGAAAACUGUACACAAGCUUCUCCUCUUACGUAGCCGAGCACACUGAACGUGUUUGUAUAUACGUGCGCAUGUAUACUAUAAGGCUACGUUCAUAUCUUAAACAGGUUGUCGGUUCGUCUCGCUCUAGUGCCCGCGAAGCGUACUCCUGUGCAGCGUACCACGACGAAUGACGACGCGGAUAAGGAAAUUCACAAUUGGUGAAACGUCACUUUACCUCGGAUAGAAGAUCACUGUUUCACAGGCUGGCACAUUUAGAUGAUAACGUAACGGAGCAUAUGUCUACCACUGGUAGCGGCACUUCACUCUUAUUCGGGGUUGCUCGAAAAUCACCGUGUAUCAAGAUGCUCCGACGUACACGAUUCUCGCAUUCCAUGAGAGACACCGACGCCACUCACACAGCUAUAAAACAGGUUGCUCCUCUCUUGUCCGUCUCUCGGGUCGGGAACGAAUUUCUACCGCCAAUCGGGCCACGAUAUAUUUUCUCCGUGCCAACACGUACGGGGAAAGAAACAAAGGACGUACGCGAACGCGAAUGUCAAUAUGUACACGACAGUUUCUCGCUCGUAUAAACAGAUUGCACUUCUCUUCGUAUCCACCACUUCUUUUCUUCUGUUUACCGUCUCAUCGACCCUUCCACCGUUUUCACUCGUAGCUACGUGUUCGUGUCGAAACGGAACACCCGGUGGCGCGAACCACCAUAGAGGUUAGAAACUACACUCGAAGAAAGUUUUUCGUCGGCCCGUUGUCAAACGUCGAACACCAGACGUUGUGGCGUUUCCCGGACGAGUUAGUUUCCGUGAUACUUCGUGCAGGUUCGCAUGACACGGUUACACGACUAUGCUAUAACGCUGAUUAAAAUCAGCGACGCACCGGUUGGGAGGUUAGGUCGCCACGGACGCCUCCUCCUCCGCCUCUCGGCCGCUUUCUCUCUCGCUCUUCGAUCCACGAUUGCACUCACAGAAGGAACGCGUGGCGUCGAAACAACGAAACGUUUUUCCCGCCACGUGGUGCACACACGUAUCCCACGAAUACCGAUUAAACACUGCCGGCCGGAGAUCGAACGAGCCACCGAAAAUAAUACGAGCGGACACGCAAAGAGGUGAAACGUCAAGAGCUCUCGUACGCUUUACGGAGCUGGCCGUGGACGGGCCUCUUGCUUGCUGACGUCAUCGCUCGGCCGCCGGCAUGAACUUCGCUGCACGCACGGAGAGUGCCGAGCCGAACUUGGCCGGAUCUGCACGAACCUGCACGAUCGUCCUCGCCUGAACUGUUCUGGGCGUUAUCCAAAGAAAUUUUUAUUCCGAUUAUUAUUUCAUCUGUGUAAAACAGAGUUUUUUAUUAUUAAUGUUCUUUUUUUCAAUUCAAAAUCUACAAUUACGUAAAAUUCAUGAAACUCGGACAAUGAAAUUGUAAAAUUCUUCAAGCGCUGCUUUCUGGUUCCGCUUGAGCAAAUCGGAACACUACCUUGCUCAAAAUUUAAACUACCUGUCAUCUAUGUAUUAAUUAUUCGAUGUAAUUCAAUUAUAAAAUAAAAUUCUAUGUUUCUCAA